Long non-coding RNA from Syngnathus typhle (broad-nosed pipefish), 618 nucleotides. RefSeq lists it as uncharacterized. Lineage: Eukaryota; Metazoa; Chordata; Actinopteri; Syngnathiformes; Syngnathidae. The record is from RefSeq and is a predicted model, not a curated record. The transcript has 3 exons.
AGUGAUGCUACGCGAGGGAAAAGCGCCAAGGUGUCUGGGGGGGGGAAAAGUUGACAACUCGAGACGUGAACUCCGCCGUAAGAGAGGACACUUACCCUGGGAGAGGUGAACGAAAGUCAGGACGAAGACUAGCGACGUUCCCGAGGAGAAACCGGGCCCUGCGCUUUUUAUGAUCUGCUCCUCUGCCGCGCAUCUGCCAGCCUCACCGCUGCAAUUGGACAAUGGAGAGACGAGGAGGAGGAGGUGGAUGCAACUGGGAUGAGCUUCCUUUUCACAUGACUGUCACACUCUGGCCGUCACCAUGGCGAUGUGGCGAGAGGAAGGAACAAGAAGCUGAGAAAGGUUUGCCUUGUCCUCUUCCUGUGACAUUUAAACACACAUAUACUUUACAGACAGUCACUUUCAUAGGUUUUGGUUGCUCUAAUGAAUUACCUUGACCUAUGAGUUUUAUAUUUGCCAUGAACAAGCUUGUAAGUCAAUUUACUCCUAUAAUACCCCAGAGCGAAACAAGAUUGCACAGGCAGAUAAACAUCACAUACUGUAAGCGAGACCAAACAUCAAAACUCACUUCCCCUCUAUGCAGAGGUGAAAAGUUGAGCCUGUGCCCUCUGGUUCUUU